RNAcentral lists this non-coding RNA (106 nucleotides) under Microvirga aerilata. RNAcentral describes it as "TPP sequence". It matches the Rfam family "TPP riboswitch aptamer (THI element)". From Rfam's summary of the family: Vitamin B(1) in its active form thiamin pyrophosphate (TPP) is an essential coenzyme that is synthesised by coupling of pyrimidine and thiazole moieties in bacteria. The previously detected thiamin-regulatory element, thi box was extended, resulting in a new, highly conserved RNA secondary structure, the THI element, which is widely distributed in eubacteria and also occurs in some archaea. Lineage: Bacteria; Pseudomonadati; Pseudomonadota; Alphaproteobacteria; Hyphomicrobiales; Methylobacteriaceae. RNAcentral also lists the same sequence under 1 other name. The record is from RNAcentral.
CGUAUCUCCAUGGGGUGCCCGUCCGGGCUGAGAGGUCUUUUUGUGAGACCAACCCAUCGAACCUGAUCCGGAUCAUGCCGGCGGAGGGAUUGCGAGAUGACGAGUG